UACGGAGGGAGCUAGCGUUAUUCGGAAUCACUGGGCUUAAAGCGCGUGUAGGCGGGUCGGUGCGUCGGCCGCUGAAAUCCCCCGGCUCAACCGGGGAAGGGGCGCCGAUACGACCGGCCUGGAGCGACGUAGGGGGAACUGGAACUUCCGGUGGAGCGGUGAAAUGCGUUGAGAUCGGAAGGAACGCCCGUGGCGAAAGCGAGUUCCUGGACGUCGGCUGACGCUGAGACGCGAAAGCCAGGGGAGCGAACGGG
Molecule: ribosomal RNA, 254 nt
Filed under: uncultured bacterium
Lineage: Bacteria
Description: partial 16S ribosomal RNA
Rfam family: Bacterial small subunit ribosomal RNA
Source: RNAcentral